Molecule: long non-coding RNA, 980 nt
Filed under: Anas zonorhyncha (Eastern spot-billed duck)
Lineage: Eukaryota; Metazoa; Chordata; Aves; Anseriformes; Anatidae
Description: lncRNA (ENSAZOG00000018423.1)
Source: RNAcentral
AUGGAAACUCAUGCACCUGACUUUCCUCUAGCUUCCUCACACCCAAGUCUGAGCAGACAGAAGGCAGCAUCAUCAAGAGACUCUCUUUCAGCAUGCAACAGCAAAUACCUCACUGUUCCUCGAAACCAUCCUUCCUUGCACAGCUGCUGUGUCAAUGGAUCUUUUGAAGCAGCUAACCAUAUGGAGUCCUACAGCAGUUCACCUCCUUGUUCUCUCUUCUGCAUUUGUUUGAGCAUCUUAUUUCUGCCCACGCUUGCCAGUAAGAGAGGAGAGGAUAUUUGGAGUUCAUUUUCUCUAGAGUCAACUAAUGCAUUGUGUUGUGCCAGCAACCAGGCAGUGGUGACAUCAUUACUUCUGCACUGUAUUGUGUGAAACUCUCCGGAAGGGAGACUAGGAAUCUGGAACAGGAUUUUCUUCAUUGUGGCAAAGAUGGAUCAUGAAAGUUUGCAUGGACUGCCUGUGAGUACUAUAUGAAAAUGGACCUAACUAGGAAAUGGGGAGUUGCAAUAAAGUGCUAUCUCCUGAGCAGUUUUAUAUUUUGCCAGAAUCUAUUGUUGAGUGUAAGUUUAGAUGUGCCUAAAGGGACUAUACAUAUGCUAUACACAUAAUGUGUGUGAUAUGUGUAAUGUGUGGAACAGAUUAUGUGAUAAUUUCAUGAAAUAAAGAAGGACGGAGUAUGCAUACAAAAAUGAUUUAUUAAAGGAUAUGGUGACUGAAAGCUACUUUGUGAGAAACUGAGAUGUGAAGAGAAGCAAUAAAAAACAAGAAUUUGGGAGCUGUUGGUGUAUUUAACAAUAUGCACAUAUGUCUAAAGCCUUCAAGUAUUCAUGUUGCGUUAACAAAUGCCAAAACUGCCAUACAAUUUGCUUGGUUAGCUUUGAAUUCAGGACUACUGGUGCAUGUGAUAGAGGGGGAGGUAAGGAGAGAAAGAAACCCUUAACUGGUACCUGUCAAAAUUUUGCUUGUAUAGCCACCUAUGG